Molecule: long non-coding RNA, 351 nt
Filed under: Sus scrofa (pig)
Lineage: Eukaryota; Metazoa; Chordata; Mammalia; Artiodactyla; Suidae
Description: lncRNA (ENSSSCG00040038321.1)
Source: RNAcentral
AAAUAACUUCAGAAUUGACCAUCUGCCCAUCCCUAUGCAAAGUUCUUUGCAUUCACCAGUGUUGGGAACUUAACCAAAGAAAGGCUACGAACAGAGUGAUAAAUGAUGGGUCAAGAGGAGAAUAUUAGGCCACAUCUUUGCUGGAUUUAAGUUAUCACAAAACAUCUAUUAAGCAGCACAACUGAGCAUGAAGGAAAAAUAACUACAGAUCUACUUCUGCUGGAGAAGAUAAUCAAGAGGCAAGAAAUCAGGUAAAUCUUCAUCCCCUGUAUAUUUAUAAAUAAAAUAGGAAUAAUCCCCAUGGUCACUGGGAUGGAUUUUGAAGGUUAUGUCUUAAUAAUAGUGACUAAC